RNAcentral lists this long non-coding RNA (283 nucleotides) under Mytilus galloprovincialis (Mediterranean mussel). Lineage: Eukaryota; Metazoa; Mollusca; Bivalvia; Mytilida; Mytilidae. The record is from RNAcentral.
UCAUUGCAUGUAUGUUUCCGUCUCAAGUGUUUAAUAUGGGGUCCAAUAUCUCAUUUAUUUCUUUUCCGCUUGUUUCAAGACUUGUUUAACCAACCAACGUGUUUAAUCAACCAAUCAACGUGUUUAUCCAACCAACCAAUCAAUCAAUCAACCAAUCAAUCAAUCAGUGCAUGUUUCCGUCUCAUGUGUUUAAUAUGGGGUCUAAGAUCUCAUUUGUUUCUUUCUCGCUUGUUUCAAGAAACCCUAUCUAACGUGUUUCACCAACCAACCAACCAUCGUGUUU